UGGGGAAUAUUGGACAAUGGGCGCAAGCCUGAUCCAGCAAUGCCGCGUGUGUGAAGAGGGCCUUCGGGUUGUAAAGCACUUUAAGCAGGGAAGAAAAAACUUUACCUAAUACGUGAAGUCUUGACGGUACCUGAAGAAUAAGCACCGGCUAACUCUGUGCCAGCAGCCGCGGUAAUACAGAGGGUGCGAGCGUUAAUCGGAUUUACUGGGCGUAAAGCGUGUGUAGGUGGUUGUUCAAGUCGGUUGUGAAAUCCCCGGGCUCAACCUGGGAACUGCUUCCGAGACUGAGCGACUAGAGUACGGUAGAGGGCGGUGGAAUUUCCGGUGUAGCGGUGAAAUGCGUAGAUAUCGGAAGGAACACCAAUGGCGAAGGCAGCCGCCUGGGCCUGUACUGACACUGAGACACGAAAGCGUGGGGAUCAAACAGGAUUAGAUACC
RNAcentral lists this ribosomal RNA (438 nucleotides) under uncultured bacterium. RNAcentral describes it as "bacterial SSU rRNA". It matches the Rfam family "Bacterial small subunit ribosomal RNA", at positions 355 to 786 of the family's 1533-position model. The record is from RNAcentral.